RNAcentral lists this ribosomal RNA (369 nucleotides) under uncultured bacterium. Its description in RNAcentral is "bacterial SSU rRNA". It matches the Rfam family "Bacterial small subunit ribosomal RNA", at positions 525 to 896 of the family's 1533-position model. The record is from RNAcentral.
ACGUAGGUGGCAAGCGUUGUCCGGAUUUAUUGGGUUUAAAGGGUGCGUAGGCGGUUCUUUAAGUCAGUGGUGAAAUACAGCCGCUUAACGGUUGAGGUGCCAUUGAUACUGAAGAACUUGAGUACAGUCGAGGUAGGCGGAAUUGACGGUGUAGCGGUGAAAUGCUUAGAUAUCGUCAAGAACACCGAUAGCGAAGGCAGCUUACUAGGCUGUAACUGACGCUGAGGCACGAAGGUGCGGGGAUCAAACAGGAUUAGAUACCCUGGUAGUCCGCACAGUAAACGAUGGUCACUCGGUGUUGGCGAUACACAGCCAGCGCCUUAGCGAAAGCGUUAAGUGACCCACCUGGGGAGUACGCCCGCAAGGGUG